GGAGGAUGGCUCAGUGGUAGAGUGCUUGCCUUGCAUGCAUGAGGCCCUGGGUUCGAUUCCUCAGCACCA
Dipodomys ordii (Ord's kangaroo rat) is the source of this 69-nucleotide non-coding RNA. NCBI's taxonomy places the organism in Eukaryota, Metazoa, Chordata, Mammalia, Rodentia, Heteromyidae. The record is from Rfam.